RNAcentral lists this ribosomal RNA (782 nucleotides) under Ralstonia sp. M67C10B1. RNAcentral describes it as "bacterial SSU rRNA". It matches the Rfam family "Bacterial small subunit ribosomal RNA", at positions 56 to 829 of the family's 1533-position model. The record is from RNAcentral. Lineage: Bacteria; Pseudomonadati; Pseudomonadota; Betaproteobacteria; Burkholderiales; Burkholderiaceae. RNAcentral also lists the same sequence under 1 other name.
UGCAGUCGACGGCAGCAUGAUCUAGCUUGCUAGAUUGAUGGCGAGUGGCGAACGGGUGAGUAAUACAUCGGAACGUGCCCUGUAGUGGGGGAUAACUAGUCGAAAGAUUAGCUAAUACCGCAUACGACCUGAGGGUGAAAGUGGGGGACCGCAAGGCCUCAUGCUAUAGGAGCGGCCGAUGUCUGAUUAGCUAGUUGGUGGGGUAAAGGCCCACCAAGGCGACGAUCAGUAGCUGGUCUGAGAGGACGAUCAGCCACACUGGGACUGAGACACGGCCCAGACUCCUACGGGAGGCAGCAGUGGGGAAUUUUGGACAAUGGGCGAAAGCCUGAUCCAGCAAUGCCGCGUGUGUGAAGAAGGCCUUCGGGUUGUAAAGCACUUUUGUCCGGAAAGAAAUGGCUCUGGUUAAUACCUGGGGUCGAUGACGGUACCGGAAGAAUAAGGACCGGCUAACUACGUGCCAGCAGCCGCGGUAAUACGUAGGGUCCAAGCGUUAAUCGGAAUUACUGGGCGUAAAGCGUGCGCAGGCGGUUGUGCAAGACCGAUGUGAAAUCCCCGAGCUUAACUUGGGAAUUGCAUUGGUGACUGCACGGCUAGAGUGUGUCAGAGGGGGGUAGAAUUCCACGUGUAGCAGUGAAAUGCGUAGAGAUGUGGAGGAAUACCGAUGGCGAAGGCAGCCCCCUGGGAUAACACUGACGCUCAUGCACGAAAGCGUGGGGAGCAAACAGGAUUAGAUACCCUGGUAGUCCACGCCCUAAACGAUGUCAACUAGUUGUUGGGGA